AGAGUUUGAUCAUGGCUCAGAUUGAACGCUGGCGGCAGGCCUAACACAUGCAAGUCGAGCGGUAGCACAGAGAGCUUGCUCUCGGGUGACGAGCGGCGGACGGGUGAGUAAUGUCUGGGAAACUGCCUGAUGGAGGGGGAUAACUACUGGAAACGGUAGCUAAUACCGCAUAAUGUCGCAAGACCAAAGUGGGGGACCUUCGGGCCUCAUGCCAUCAGAUGUGCCCAGAUGGGAUUAGCUAGUAGGUGGGGUAACGGCUCACCUAGGCGACGAUCCCUAGCUGGUCUGAGAGGAUGACCAGCCACACUGGAACUGAGACACGGUCCAGACUCCUACGGGAGGCAGCAGUGGGGAAUAUUGCACAAUGGGCGCAAGCCUGAUGCAGCCAUGCCGCGUGUGUGAAGAAGGCCUUCGGGUUGUAAAGCACUUUCAGCGGGGAGGAAGGCGGUGAGGUUAAUAACCUCAUCGAUUGACGUUACCCGCAGAAGAAGCACCGGCUAACUCCGUGCCAGCAGCCGCGGUAAUACGGAGGGUGCAAGCGUUAAUCGGAAUUACUGGGCGUAAAGCGCACGCAGGCGGUCUGUCAAGUCGGAUGUGAAAUCCCCGGGCUCAACCUGGGAACUGCAUUCGAAACUGGCAGGCUAGAGUCUUGUAGAGGGGGGGAGAAUUCCAGGUGUAGCGGUGAAAUGCGUAGAGAUCUGGAGGAAUACCGGUGGCGAAGGCGGCCCCCUGGACAAAGACUGACGCUCAGGUGCGAAAGCGUGGGGAGCAAACAGGAUUAGAUACCCUGGUAGUCCACGCCGUAAACGAUGUCGAUUUGGAGGUUGUGCCCUUGAGGCGUGGCUUCCGGAGCUAACGCGUUAAAUCGACCGCCUGGGGAGUACGGCCGCAAGGUUAAAACUCAAAUGAAUUGACGGGGGCCCGCACAAGCGGUGGAGCAUGUGGUUUAAUUCGAUGCAACGCGAAGAACCUUACCUGGUCUUGACAUCCACAGAACUUUCCAGAGAUGGAUUGGUGCCUUCGGGAACUGUGAGACAGGUGCUGCAUGGCUGUCGUCAGCUCGUGUUGUGAAAUGUUGGGUUAAGUCCCGCAACGAGCGCAACCCUUAUCCUUUGUUGCCAGCGGUCCGGCCGGGAACUCAAAGGAGACUGCCAGUGAUAAACUGGAGGAAGGUGGGGAUGACGUCAAGUCAUCAUGGCCCUUACGACCAGGGCUACACACGUGCUACAAUGGCAUAUACAAAGAGAAGCGACCUCGCGAGAGCAAGCGGACCUCAUAAAGUAUGUCGUAGUCCGGAUUGGAGUCUGCAACUCGACUCCAUGAAGUCGGAAUCGCUAGUAAUCGUAGAUCAGAAUGCUACGGUGAAUACGUUCCCGGGCCUUGUACACACCGCCCGUCACACCAUGGGAGUGGGUUGCAAAAGAAGUAGGUAGCUUAACCUUCGGGAGGGCGCUUACCACUUUGUGAUUCAUGACUGGGGUGAAGUCGUAACAAGGUAACCGUAGGGGAACCUGCGGUUGGAUCACCU
RNAcentral lists this ribosomal RNA (1528 nucleotides) under Klebsiella pneumoniae. RNAcentral describes it as "bacterial SSU rRNA". It matches the Rfam family "Bacterial small subunit ribosomal RNA". The record is from RNAcentral. Lineage: Bacteria; Pseudomonadati; Pseudomonadota; Gammaproteobacteria; Enterobacterales; Enterobacteriaceae.